GACGAACGCUGGCGGCGUGCUUAACACAUGCAAGUCGAACGAAGAGCGAUGGAAGCUUGCUUCUAUCAAUCUUAGUGGCGAACGGGUGAGUAACGCGUAAUCAACCUGCCCUUCAGAGGGGGACAACAGUUGGAAACGACUGCUAAUACCGCAUACGAUCUAAUCUCGGCAUCGAGGAUAGAUGAAAGGUGGCCUCUACAUGUAAGCUAUCACUGAAGGAGGGGAUUGCGUCUGAUUAGCUAGUUGGAGGGGUAACGGCCCACCAAGGCGAUGAUCAGUAGCCGGUCUGAGAGGAUGAACGGCCACAUUGGGACUGAGACACGGCCCAGACUCCUACGGGAGGCAGCAGUGGGGAAUCUUCCGCAAUGGACGAAAGUCUGACGGAGCAACGCCGCGUGAGUGAUGACGGCCUUCGGGUUGUAAAGCUCUGUUAAUCGGGACGAAAGGCCUUCUUGCGAAUAGUGAGAAGGAUUGACGGAACCGGAAUAGAAAGCCACGGCUAACUACGUG
This 510-nucleotide ribosomal RNA is filed under the name uncultured bacterium. RNAcentral's name for it is "partial 16S ribosomal RNA". It matches the Rfam family "Bacterial small subunit ribosomal RNA", at positions 28 to 507 of the family's 1533-position model. The record is from RNAcentral.